GACGGAGGGGGCUAGCGUUGUUCGGAAUUACUGGGCGUAAAGCGCACGUAGGCGGCGUUGCAAGUUGGGGGUGAAAUCCCGGGGCUCAACCCCGGAAUUGCCUCCAAGACUGUGGCGCUGGAGUCCGGAAGAGGAGAGCGGAAUUCCCAGUGUAGAGGUGAAAUUCGUAGAUAUUGGGAAGAACACCAGUGGCGAAGGCGGCUCUCUGGUCCGGUACUGACGCUGAGGUGCGAAAGCGUGGGGAGCAAACAGG
This 253-nucleotide ribosomal RNA is filed under the name uncultured bacterium. RNAcentral's name for it is "partial 16S ribosomal RNA". It matches the Rfam family "Bacterial small subunit ribosomal RNA", at positions 524 to 776 of the family's 1533-position model. RNAcentral also lists the same sequence under 1 other name. The record is from RNAcentral.